This 63-nucleotide transfer RNA is filed under the name Alloeorhynchus sp. Its description in RNAcentral is "tRNA-Phe". The record is from RNAcentral. Lineage: Eukaryota; Metazoa; Arthropoda; Insecta; Hemiptera; Nabidae.
ACUGUAAUAGCUUAAUUUAGAGUACAAUAUUGAAGAUGUUGGGGUGAUAGAUAUCUUACAGUA